UACGAAGGGGGCUAGCGUUGUUCGGAAUUACUGGGCGUAAAGGACGCGUAGGCGGUGUGUCAAGUCAGGCGUGAAAGCCCCGGGCUCAACCUGGGAACCGCGCUUGAGACUGGCACGCUCGAGUUCGGGAGAGGAUGGUGGAAUUCCCAGUGUAGAGGUGAAAUUCGUAGAUAUUGGGAAGAACACCGAUGGCGAAGGCAGCCAUCUGGACCGACACUGACGCUGAGGCGCGAAAGCGUGGGGAGCAAACAGG
This 253-nucleotide ribosomal RNA is filed under the name uncultured bacterium. Its description in RNAcentral is "partial 16S ribosomal RNA". It matches the Rfam family "Bacterial small subunit ribosomal RNA", at positions 524 to 776 of the family's 1533-position model. The record is from RNAcentral.